Molecule: unclassified non-coding RNA, 333 nt
Filed under: uncultured Agaricomycetes
Lineage: Eukaryota; Fungi; Basidiomycota; Agaricomycetes
Description: sequence contains ITS2
Source: RNAcentral
AACGCAUCUUGCGCUCCUUGGCAUUCCGAGGAGCACGCCUGUUUGAGUGUCAUUAAAUUCCUCAAAUCCUCCAAUCUUGCCCACCCAGGGCUGGAGUGGUUGGUUUGGAUCGUUGGAGGCUUCUGAAUGCAGGCUCGCUUCGAAGGGCCUGCUCCUCUGAAAUGCAUUAGCAAUGGCCGUGGCGUCGUCGUUGGCAUGGUAAAAAUACUUGUUAUUUUCUGCCACUUGACACAGACAACCACCUCCCAUGCUUCUAAUCUGGCCACCCGUUUUCUCGGUGCCCUUGAUGACCAUUUUGACCUCAAAUCAGGUGGGACUACCCGCUGAACUUAA